This 66-nucleotide transfer RNA is filed under the name Suwallia bimaculata. RNAcentral describes it as "tRNA-Phe". Lineage: Eukaryota; Metazoa; Arthropoda; Insecta; Plecoptera; Chloroperlidae. The record is from RNAcentral.
ACUCAAAUAGCUUAUUAAGAGCACAACAUUGAAGAUGUUGGGGAGGUUAAUUUAAAUCUUUGAGUA